This 315-nucleotide ribosomal RNA is filed under the name uncultured bacterium. Its description in RNAcentral is "bacterial SSU rRNA". It matches the Rfam family "Bacterial small subunit ribosomal RNA", at positions 335 to 639 of the family's 1533-position model. The record is from RNAcentral.
ACUCCUACGGGAGGCAGCAGUGGGGAAUAUUGCACAAUGGGCGCAAGCCUGAUGCAGCCAUGCCGCGUGUAUGAAGAAGGCCUUCGGGUUGUAAAGUACUUUCAGCAGUGAGGAAGGGUGGUAUGUUAAUAGCAUGAUCUUCAUUGACUGUUAGCUGCAGAAGAAGCACCGGCUAACUCCGUGCCAGCAGCCGCGGUAAUACGGAGGGUGCGAGCGUUAAUCGGAAUUACUGGGCGUAAAGCGCAUGCAGGUGGUUUGUUAAGUCAGAUGUGAAAGCCCGGGGCUCAACCUCGGAAUUGCAUUGAACUUGGACAA